Molecule: ribosomal RNA, 915 nt
Filed under: uncultured archaeon
Lineage: Archaea
Description: partial 16S rRNA
Rfam family: Archaeal small subunit ribosomal RNA
Source: RNAcentral
UUCCGGUUGAUCCUGCCGGAGGCUACUGCUAUUGGGAUUCGACUAAGCCAUGCGAGUCAAGGUGUCUUCGGACGCCGGCGUACGGCUCAGUAACACGUAGGUAACCUACCCUCAGGACUGAGAUAACCCCGGGAAACUGGGGCUAAUAUUAGAUAGAUAAAAGAUACUGGAAUGUUCUUUUAUCCAAAGCUUUUGCGCCUGAGGAUGGGCCUGCGUCCGAUUAGGUUGUUGGUGGGGUAAUGGCCCACCAAGCCUACGAUCGGUACGGGCAGUGAGAGCCGAAGCCCGGAGUUGGGGACUGAGACAAGGCCCCAGGCCCUACGGGGCGCAGCAGGCGCGAAACCUCUGCAAUGCGGGAAACCGUGACAGGGGGAUCCCAAGUGCUCAUGCAUUGCAUGGGCUGUUCUUUGGUCUAAGUAACCAGAGGAGUAAGGGCUGGGCAAGACCGGUGCCAGCCGCCGCGGUAAUACCGGCAGCUCAAGUGGUAGCCGCGAUUAUUGGGCCUAAAGCGUUCGUAGCCGGAUAAGUAAGUCUUUGGUUAAAUCCUGCAACUUAACUGUGGGAAAUCUAGGGAUACUGCUUGUCUUGAGACCGGGAGAGGUUAGAGGUACUCCUAGGGUAGGGGUGAAAUCCUGUAAUCCUAGGGGGACCACCUGUGGCGAAGGCGUCUAACUGGAACGGGUCUGACGGUGAGGGACGAAACCUAGGGGAGCGAGCCGGAUUAGAUACCCGGGUAGUCCUAGCCGUAAACGAUACUCGCUAGGUGUCGGCCACGGUGCGACCGUUGUCGGUGCCGUAGGGAAGCCGUGAAGCGAGCCACCUGGGAAGUACGGCCGCAAGGCUGAAACUUAAAGGAAUUGGCGGGGGAGCACCACAACGGGUGGAGCUUGCGGUUUAAUUGGAUUCAACGCCGGA